GAGUUUGAUCCUGGCUCAGGAUGAACGCUGGCGGCGUGCCUAAUACAUGCAAGUCGAGCGAACGGACGAGAAGCUUGCUUCUCUGAUGUUAGCGGCGGACGGGUGAGUAACACGUGGAUAACCUACCUAUAAGACUGGGAUAACUUCGGGAAACCGGAGCUAAUACCGGAUAAUAUUUUGAACCGCAUGGUUCAAAAGUGAAAGACGGUCUUGCUGUCACUUAUAGAUGGAUCCGCGCUGCAUUAGCUAGUUGGUAAGGUAACGGCUUACCAAGGCAACGAUGCAUAGCCGACCUGAGAGGGUGAUCGGCCACACUGGAACUGAGACACGGUCCAGACUCCUACGGGAGGCAGCAGUAGGGAAUCUUCCGGCAAUGGGCGAAAGCCUGACGGAGCAACGCCGCGUGAGUGAUGAAGGUCUUCGGAUCGUAAAACUCUGUUAUUAGGGAAGAACAUAUGUGUAAGUAACUGUGCACAUCUUGACGGUACCUAAUCAGAAGGCCACGGCUAACUACGUCG
This 518-nucleotide ribosomal RNA is filed under the name uncultured microorganism. RNAcentral's name for it is "bacterial SSU rRNA". It matches the Rfam family "Bacterial small subunit ribosomal RNA", at positions 9 to 508 of the family's 1533-position model. The record is from RNAcentral.